CAUUCUUUGGGAUUUGGUUUUGUAUAUUAAUCAACUUUGACUUUGAGUUUUUUUUUUUUAUUUUUUUUUAAUGUAUACGUAGAGCUUUUGAUCCAGCUGCUAUCAAAUUUAGAGGUGUUGAUUCUGAUAUCAACUUUACUGUUGGUGAUUACGAAGAAGAUAUGAAGCAUGUUUUUUUAUAUGAAUGUAGUUUUGGGUUCCUCUUUUCUCCCGAAGCUGAAGCUACCACAUACCAUUGCAGUACUUUGUUUCAUGUACCAUGAUAAUGCAUAUGUAAGCUCUGGGGUUUAUUCUUGCUUUCCUUUUAAAAGAAACAUUUGAUGUUCAUUGGGAUGGAAAGAAGGCUUCUCUCUUUACGCAAUCAUAUCUCACAUAAGCCCUGUCUCAGUAAAAUAGCUUAUGGGCUGCUGUUACUAGACACCACCACCAGUUGAAAGGGUUCAUCAAACAUGAGAUGGAAAGAACGAGAUCACACAUGGGUAAAAUAUGCUUUUUUUUUAUAAAAUAUAAAUUAUAUUAUCAGAAGUAAAUAUUUGUUACAAGCAGGUGCAGAGAGCUUCGUUGGCAAAAAAAAAAGGGAAGCUAAACGUGAAAAUCAGUAUGAGAAGCUUGGAUUAGCUAUAAGUGAACCAGACUGAAAGGAGACUGGCACAUCCUUUGUUGAACCUUUGUGAAGGAUAUUCUGGGGGAGCCUGUCAAUGUGAGAAAAGGUAGUACCAUGAGGUUUAGCAACGCAUGAGUGUAACCUGUUUUUCCUCUCUUUCCAGAGAAGAUAAGAAUAUUCCUUGAGUGACCAGUUUUCUUAGUAACAAACAAGAUCACCCUUCCGUUGGAGAGAAGGGAGCCAGCGAUCAAUUUUCUUUAAAGUUUGUUUAGUUAACAUUAUUGCGUUGAGAAAAGAAGUUAACAUUAUUAAUUCAUAUUAUAUGAAUGAUAUAUUUUAAAUUCA
Long non-coding RNA from Brassica oleracea var. oleracea, 949 nucleotides. RefSeq lists it as uncharacterized. The transcript is spliced from 3 exons. The record is from RefSeq and is a predicted model, not a curated record. NCBI's taxonomy places the organism in Eukaryota, Viridiplantae, Streptophyta, Magnoliopsida, Brassicales, Brassicaceae.